Molecule: ribosomal RNA, 484 nt
Filed under: Salmonella enterica subsp. enterica serovar Infantis
Lineage: Bacteria; Pseudomonadati; Pseudomonadota; Gammaproteobacteria; Enterobacterales; Enterobacteriaceae
Description: bacterial SSU rRNA
Rfam family: Bacterial small subunit ribosomal RNA
Source: RNAcentral
AAAUUGAAGAGUUUGAUCAUGGCUCAGAUUGAACGCUGGCGGCAGGCCUAACACAUGCAAGUCGAACGGUAACAGGAAGCAGCUUGCUGCUUUGCUGACGAGUGGCGGACGGGUGAGUAAUGUCUGGGAAACUGCCUGAUGGAGGGGGAUAACUACUGGAAACGGUGGCUAAUACCGCAUAACGUCGCAAGACCAAAGAGGGGGACCUUCGGGCCUCUUGCCAUCAGAUGUGCCCAGAUGGGAUUAGCUAGUUGGUGAGGUAACGGCUCACCAAGGCGACGAUCCCUAGCUGGUCUGAGAGGAUGACCAGCCACACUGGAACUGAGACACGGUCCAGACUCCUACGGGAGGCAGCAGUGGGGAAUAUUGCACAAUGGGCGCAAGCCUGAUGCAGCCAUGCCGCGUGUAUGAAGAAGGCCUUCGGGUUGUAAAGUACUUUCAGCGGGGAGGAAGGUGUUGUGGUUAAUAACCGCAGCAAUUGACG